AGGUGCGAUCAUACCAGCACUAAUACACCGGAUCCCAUCAGAACUCCGCAGUUAAGAGUGCUUGUUAUGUUUUUCUUCCUGGCCUAGACAAUCAAACCAUGAGUUCAGUCAGUUAUCGCGUUCGUUGCCCUUC
RNAcentral lists this ribosomal RNA (133 nucleotides) under Phaseolus vulgaris (common bean). Lineage: Eukaryota; Viridiplantae; Streptophyta; Magnoliopsida; Fabales; Fabaceae. The record is from RNAcentral.